Molecule: ribosomal RNA, 484 nt
Filed under: uncultured bacterium
Lineage: Bacteria
Description: partial 16S ribosomal RNA
Rfam family: Bacterial small subunit ribosomal RNA
Source: RNAcentral
AUUGAACGCUGGCGGCAGGCCUAACACAUGCAAGUCGAGCGGAUGAAGGGAGCUUGCUCCUGGAUUCAGCGGCGGACGGGGGAGUAAUGCCUAGGAAUCUGCCUGGUAGUGGGGGAUAACGUCCGGAAACGGGCGCUAAUACCGCAUACGUCCUGAGGGAGAAAGUGGGGGAUCUUCGGACCUCACGCUAUCAGAUGAGCCUAGGUCGGAUUAGCUAGUUGGUGGGGUAAAGGCCUACCAAGGCGACGAUCCGUAACUGGUCUGAGAGGAUGAUCAGUCACACUGGAACUGAGACACGGUCCAGACUCCUACGGGAGGCAGCAGUGGGGAAUGUUGGACAAUGGGCGAAAGCCUGAUCCAGCCAUGCCGCGUGUGUGAAGAAGGUCUUCGGAUUGUAAAGCACUUUAAGUUGGGAGGAAGGGCAGUAAGUUAAUACCUUGCUGUUUUGACGUUACCAACAGAAUAAGCACCGGCUAACUUCGUG